Molecule: ribosomal RNA, 484 nt
Filed under: uncultured bacterium
Lineage: Bacteria
Description: partial 16S ribosomal RNA
Rfam family: Bacterial small subunit ribosomal RNA
Source: RNAcentral
AUUGAACGCUGGCGGCAUGCUUUACACAUGCCAGUCGAACGGCAGCGCGGGCUUCGGCCUGGCGGCGAGUGGCGAACGGGUGAGUAAUACAUCGGAACGUGCCCAGUAGUGGGGGAUAGCUCGGCGAAAGCCGGAUUAAUACCGCAUACGACCUGAGGGUGAAAGCGGGGGAUCUUCGGACCUCGCGCUAUUGGAGCGGCCGAUGGCAGAUUAGCUAGUUGGUGGGGUAAAGGCCUACCAAGGCGACGAACUGUAGCUGGUCUGAGAGGGCGACCAGCCACACUGGGACUGAGACACGGCCCAGACUCCUACGGGAGGCAGCAGUGGGGAAUUUUGGACAAUGGGCGAAAGCCUGAUCCAGCAAUGCCGCGUGUGUGAUGAAGGCCUUCGGGUUGUAAAGCACUUUUGGCGGGAACGAAAAGGACUGUGCCAAUACCACGGUUCGAUGACGGUACCCGCAGAAUAAGCACCGGCUAACUACGUG